GCUCAGGGAGCUGUGUAAAUUCGACGUGAAGUCGGUCUAGUGGCCCUGUGGUCACCACUCCACUUUGCUCUGCCUCAAUUUCAGUUGUUUGCUCCAAGGAGAGUUCUUGGAACAGUAGGUGUUAGCGUCUUCACCUUACUCCCCAGGUGUUUGCUGGCCACAGUCUCAUUUCUAACAUCUGAAUCUGGGAAAAGUUUUGAAGUGAUGUAGGGAACAAAACUGCUUUUUCCACCAUGUAGUCUGAUUUUGCCAAAUCACCCAAGAAAGUAUACGAUGUGCGGAGUGUGCGUUUCUUGGAUGGGACCUAUCUGGUCACCCAGCUCAAUCCCACAGUCAUAAAUUCCUACCUCUAAGUUCCUGCCAAAGGCUCUCCAGCCUCUGUGUGCACUCGUUGAAUGAAUGCCUUGCCUAAAGUUUGGCCUUUUAAGGAGAAAUGGCAUGUGAUGGUAUAAACAUAUGAGGGUUUAAAAAAAUGAUCUCUGCCUCUCCUUCUCUCCUUCUCUCUUUUCCCCCCCCUUUCUGUCUUUCUCCUUCUCUUCUGCUUCCCCAUGCGCUAAAUUCAAUUUUUUCUCGGUUGUUACAAGCAUAUUGCUUUGAAUGUGGACCUUGGGUGAGGGAGAGGAUCAUUCUAAAAAUAGAGAAUGGAAGAUACUUCUGAGUUGAUAGGGCCAACAGGACUUUGCUCCACUGUAGAGGCUGAAGCCAACGGUAUUUGUUGAGACUGUCGAGGGCUUUAGCAUCUCAUUGCAGACAUAUGAAGUAUUCAUUGCUAAACCAUAUUAGUAUCUACUAGUCCAAUUCUGUUGAAAGUCAAAGGCAGUCUAGGAUUUGGUGAGUGAAAUGCCAUCUGGCAAAGUGGGGUGGCGAGGGUGGCCUGAGAUGGUCUUAUCAGGGUGGGAACGUUCAGCCUCAUUUUCAUUUGAGUGUACCUCAAAGCAUAUGGUCCUUCACGAGUGCUCCUUUUCGCUCCUCCAUUUCACUUUAUCCUUUCUUCUCUCUCCUUUCUCUCCCAUUGUCCUGCCUUUUUAGUACUCAGCUUUUUUUAUAAGUAUUUACUAUUUUAUUAUAUAUUUCGUCCUUUGGGACUGUGUAAUGACUAAGAAUUAAUUUCAUUCUAGAUAGAAAAUGAUGUGUUUUUAAUAUUUUGUUCUCUUAAACUGUCUUUUGAAGCUAUGCUGCUAACCAGGUACAGGCCAGAAGGGAGUUGGGCCUGACAGACAACACCCUAGUCUUGUCACCUAAGGAUGACACUUAUGUCAUCAUGGUCACUCUUCUUCAUUUGACCAAGGCCAGCCUCCUGCUCUUACCUCUGUCCAUUCAUUUCUGGCUAUGGGAAAAAUACCACCUGUUGGGUGAGCCGAUGAGGCCAGGAGGAUCAGAGGGGCCAGGUCCCGCUCAUGGGCCACUGUACAGCCUGUACCAAAGCUGUGGCUCACUGCUCAUUUCAUUCUGCUCCCUGGUCAUGCAUAGCAACAUAGUCUAAAAAGGAAGACAUGGGCUGGGGAGUUAGGAGACCUGGUUUCUAUUUCCUAUGCUUCUACUAACUAGCCUCGAGAUCUUAACCGCUCUGUGCCUCAGUGUUCCCAUCUGCAAAAUGGGGAUAGUGUUAAUUGCCCUACCUACCUCACAGGGUUGUUGUGAGGAUAAACUGAGAGAAUGAAUGGAAAGUACUUUGACAAGUAAGUGCUAUGCAAAUUGUAAGAAAUGGAAACAAUCAUGUUAAAGGCAAUGGAAUGGAC
Molecule: long non-coding RNA, 1739 nt
Organism: Equus asinus (donkey)
Lineage: Eukaryota; Metazoa; Chordata; Mammalia; Perissodactyla; Equidae
Source: Ensembl